This 430-nucleotide ribosomal RNA is filed under the name Pseudomonadota bacterium. RNAcentral describes it as "Proteobacteria bacterium partial 16S ribosomal RNA". It matches the Rfam family "Bacterial small subunit ribosomal RNA", at positions 355 to 776 of the family's 1533-position model. The record is from RNAcentral. Lineage: Bacteria; Pseudomonadati; Pseudomonadota.
UGGGGAAUAUUGGACAAUGGGCGAAAGCCUGAUCCAGCCAUGCCGCGUGUGUGAAGAAGGUCUUCGGAUUGUAAAGCACUUUAAGCGAGGAGGAGGGUACUGGUAUUAAUACUACCAGGUACUGGACGUUACUCGCAGAAUAAGCACCGGCUAACUCUGUGCCAGCAGCCGCGGUAAUACAGAGGGUGCGAGCGUUAAUCGGAUUUACGGGGCGUAAAGCGUGCGUAGGCGGCUAAUUGAGUCGGAUGUGAAAUCCCCGAGCUUAACUUGGGAAUUGCAUUUGAUACUGGUUAGCUAGAGUGUGGGAGAGGAUGGUAGAAUUCCAGGUGUAGCGGUGAAAUGCGUAGAGAUCUGGAGGAAUACCGAUGGCGAAGGCAGCCAUCUGGCCUAACACUGACGCUGAGGUACGAAAGCAUGGGGAGCAAACAGG